UCGGACCGCUCAGUAACACGUGGAUAACCUACCCUUGGGACUGGAAUAACCCCGGGAAACUGGGGAUAAUACCGGAUAGAUCAGGGAUGCUGGAAUGCACCUUGAUCCAAAGCUCCGGCGCCCAAGGAUGGGUCUGCGGCCUAUCAGGUAGUAGUGGGUGUAACGUACCUACUAGCCAACGACGGGUACGGGUUGUGAGAGCAAGAGCCCGGAGAUGGAUUCUGAGACACGAAUCCAGGCCCUACGGGGUGCAGCAGGCGCGAAACCUUUACAAUGUGCGAAAGCAUGAUAAGGGAACUCCGAGUGCCAGUAUCUAAUACUGGCUGUCCUUGUGCCUAAAACGCACAAGAUAGCAAGGGCCGGGUAAGACCGGUGCCAGCCGCCGCGGUAACACCGGCGGCCCGAGUGGUAGCCGCUAUUAUUGGGUCUAAAGGGUCCGUAGCCGGUUCGAUAAGUCCUCUGGAAAUCUGGUUGCUUAACAAUCAGACUGCCAAGGGAUACUGUCGAACUUAGAGACCGGGAGAGGUAAGAGGUACUUCAGGGGUAGGAGUGAAAUCUUGUAAUCCCUGGGGGACCAUCUGUGGCGAAGGCGUCUUACCAGAACGGGUCUGACGGUGAGGGACGAAAGCUGGGGGCGCAAACCGGAUUAGAUACCCGGGUAGUCCCAGCCGUAAACGAUGCUCGCUAUGUGUCAGGUACGGUGUGACCGUAUCUGGUGCCGUAGGGAAGCCGUGAAGCGAGCCACCUGGGAAGUACGGCCGCAAGGCUGAAACUUAAAGGAAUUGGCGGGGAAGCACUACAACGGGUGGAGCCUGCGGUUUAAUUGGAUUCAACGCCGGAAAUCUUACCGGAGGAGACAGCAGCAUGAAGGUCAGGCUGAGGAUCUUACCAUAUCCACUGAGAGGAAGUGCAUGGCCGUCGUCAGUUCAUACUGUGAAGCAUCCUGUUAAGUCAGGCUACGAGCGAGACCCGAGCCCACAC
This 981-nucleotide ribosomal RNA is filed under the name uncultured archaeon. Its description in RNAcentral is "bacterial SSU rRNA". It matches the Rfam family "Archaeal small subunit ribosomal RNA", at positions 81 to 1063 of the family's 1478-position model. The record is from RNAcentral.